Molecule: ribosomal RNA, 810 nt
Filed under: uncultured Acidobacteriota bacterium
Lineage: Bacteria; Pseudomonadati; Acidobacteriota
Description: bacterial SSU rRNA
Rfam family: Bacterial small subunit ribosomal RNA
Source: RNAcentral
AGAGUUUGAUCAUGGCUCAGAAUCAACGCUGGCGGCGUGCCUCAGACAUGCAAGUCGAACGCGAAAGGCCCCUUCGGGGGCCGAGUAGAGUGGCGCACGGGUGAGUAACACGUAGGUAAUCUACCUCUGGGUGGGGAAUAACAGCCGGAAACGGCUGCUAAUACCGCAUAACGCAGCGGCACCACAUGGUGACAGUUGUUAAAGCGGGGGAACUUCGGUCCUCGCGCCUGGAGAGGAGCCUGCGGCGGAUUAGCUAGUUGGCAGGGUAACGGCCUACCAAGGCGACGAUCCGUAGCCGGCCUGAGAGGGCGGUCGGCCACACUGGCACUGACAUACGGGCCAGACUCCUACGGGAGGCAGCAGUCGGGAAUUUUGGGCAAUGGGCGAAAGCCUGACCCAGCAACGCCGCGUGGAGGAUGAAGUUUCUCGGAAUGUAAACUCCGUAAGAAUGGGAAGAAUAAGGGGGGGCUAACACCCUCUCCGAUGACGGUACCAUUCGUAAGCUCCGGCUAACUCCGUGCCAGCAGCCGCGGUAAUACGGGGGGAGCAAGCGUUGUUCGGAUUUACUGGGCGUAAAGAGUUGCGUAGGUGGCAUAGUAAGCAGGUAGUGAAAUAGUGUGGCUCAACCAUACUCACAUUAUCUGAACUGCUAAGCUGGAGUAUAUGAGAGGUAGUUGGAAUUCCUUGUGUAGGAGUGGAAUCCGUAGAUAUAAGGAGGAACACCGAUGGCGUAGGCAGACUACUGGCAUAUUACUGACACUAAGGCACGAAAGCGUGGGGAGCGAACGGGAUUAGAUACCCCCGUAGUCC